This 575-nucleotide ribosomal RNA is filed under the name uncultured bacterium. RNAcentral describes it as "partial 16S ribosomal RNA". It matches the Rfam family "Bacterial small subunit ribosomal RNA", at positions 355 to 920 of the family's 1533-position model. The record is from RNAcentral.
UGGGGAAUAUUGCACAAUGGGCGCAAGCCUGAUGCAGCCAUGCCGCGUGUGUGAAGAAGGCCUUCGGGUUGUAAAGCACUUUCAGCGAGGAGGAAGGUGGUGAACUUAAUACGUUCAUCAAUUGACGUUACUCGCAGAAGAAGCACCGGCUAACUCCGUGCCAGCAGCCGCGGUAAUACGGAGGGUGCAAGCGUUAAUCGGAAUUACUGGGCGUAAAGCGCACGCAGGCGGUUUGUUAAGUCAGAUGUGAAAUCCCCGGGCUCAACCUGGGAACUGCAUUUGAAACUGGCAAGCUAGAGUCUCGUAGAGGGGGGUAGAAUUCCAGGUGUAGCGGUGAAAUGCGUAGAGAUCUGGAGGAAUACCGGUGGCGAAGGCGGCCCCCUGGACGAAGACUGACGCUCAGGUGCGAAAGCGUGGGGCAGCAAACAGGAUUAGAUACCCUGGUAGUCCACGCUGUAAACGAUGUCGAUUUUGGAGGUUGUGCCCUUGAGGCGUGGCUUCCGGAGCUAACGCGUUAAAUCGACCGCCUGGGGAGUACGGCCGCAAGGUUAAAACUCAAAUGAAUUGACGGGGUC